This 146-nucleotide non-coding RNA is filed under the name Clostridium sp. The record is from RNAcentral. Lineage: Bacteria; Bacillati; Bacillota; Clostridia; Eubacteriales; Clostridiaceae.
UUGAAUUGAAUAUUUUAUGGUUGCAGAGCAGCGCUUAAAAGCUGCUUUCCGGGGAAGUUGGGUGAAAAUCCCACACGGUCCCGCCACUGUGAACAGGCAUUGCGCCUGGAAGUCAGGAUACCGGAAACCAUAAUGCGUACUGCCCA